Molecule: ribosomal RNA, 253 nt
Filed under: uncultured bacterium
Lineage: Bacteria
Description: partial 16S ribosomal RNA
Rfam family: Bacterial small subunit ribosomal RNA
Source: RNAcentral
GACGAACCGAGCGAACGUUAUUCGGAAUUAUUGGGCGUAAAGAGCUUGUAGGUGGCUCGUUGCGUCGGGAGUGAAAACCUGCGGCUUAACCGCAGGCCUGCUUCCGAUACGGGCGAGCUAGAGUUCGGCAGGGGAGACUGGAAUUCCUGGUGUAGCGGUGGAAUGCGCAGAUAUCAGGAGGAACACCGGUGGCGAAGGCGGGUCUCUGGGCCGAUACUGACACUGAGAAGCGAAAGCGUGGGGAGCGAACAGG